GUCAGACCUCCACCUGUCGCAGUCCUUCGUGCGGAAGAGGAAAGGCUCCACCCUGACGGAGCUGUGCGAGGGUAAGGAGCCGCCGCCCCACGCUUCCUUCGCUCUGAACGCCAGGUGUAACGCAGCCGCUCUUCCUCCGAACAGACGAGGACUUCGACUCCCAGUGGGAAAUCCCCGACGAGCCUCAGGACGAGGCCGAGACCAGCCAGAGCUCGGUGACGGUCCGGAGCUUCGAGGACAGCCCCAGAGACGGCUCCAGCGUCUGGAUGUGUGAGCUGUCCAGCAAGGUGUGGACCCUGGAGCUGCAGCUGGACCUGGAGAGACAGCAGAAGGAGGACGCCCUGAAGAGGGUGGAGGAGCUGGAGAGCAGGGUGGAGGAGGCGCAGCGGGUGGCAGCCGAGCUGCAGCUGGAGGAGGCCCAGCAGAAUGAACAGACGGAGGCCGCGCUGCAGCUGGAGGAGGCCCAGCAGAAGGAGCUGAUGGAGGCCGCGCUGCAGGUGGAGGAGGCGCAGCAGAAGGAGCUGACGGAGGCCGCGCUGCAGGUGGAGGAGGCGCAGCAGAAUGAACAGACGGAGGCCGCGCUGCAGCUGGAGGAGGCCCAGCAGAAGGAGCUGACGGAGGCCGCGCUGCAGCUGGACGAGGCGCAGCGGGUGGAGGCUGAGCUGCGCCUGCAGCUGGAGGCUGAAGCGGAGGCCAGACGGCAGGCGGUGGAGAAGCUGGACAUGCUGGAGCUGAGAGUUCUGGACCUGGAGCAGCAGAACCGCGCUCACAGGGAGACUGUGGAGCAGAUGACCGGCCAGCUGUUGGAGACCACCCAGCUGUGUGAAGCCUUGAGCUCAGAGAAGGAGGAGGUGCUCACCGAGCGGGACUUCCUGCAGCAGGAGGUGGGGAUGCUCCUCCAGCAGGCCGACAUCCUGGAGAAGGAGAAGGCCGCCCUGUCCCAGGAAAUGAGGGAGCUCCGAGAGACGGACGAGUUUCAGAGGCUGGA
RNAcentral lists this long non-coding RNA (988 nucleotides) under Salarias fasciatus (jewelled blenny). RNAcentral describes it as "lncRNA (ENSSFAG00005017780.1)". Lineage: Eukaryota; Metazoa; Chordata; Actinopteri; Blenniiformes; Blenniidae. The record is from RNAcentral.